Molecule: ribosomal RNA, 168 nt
Filed under: Salmonella enterica
Lineage: Bacteria; Pseudomonadati; Pseudomonadota; Gammaproteobacteria; Enterobacterales; Enterobacteriaceae
Description: partial 16S ribosomal RNA
Rfam family: Bacterial small subunit ribosomal RNA
Source: RNAcentral
AAAUUGAAGAGUUUGAUCAUGGCUCAGAUUGAACGCUGGCGGCAGGCCUAACACAUGCAAGUCGAACGGUAACAGGAAGCAGCUUGCUGCUUCGCUGACGAGUGGCGGACGGGUGAGUAAUGUCUGGGAAAUUGCCUGAUGGAGGGGGAUAACUACUGGAAACGGUGG